This 433-nucleotide ribosomal RNA is filed under the name uncultured bacterium. RNAcentral's name for it is "partial 16S ribosomal RNA". It matches the Rfam family "Bacterial small subunit ribosomal RNA", at positions 29 to 507 of the family's 1533-position model. The record is from RNAcentral.
AGCGAACGCUGGCGGCAUGCCUAACACAUGCAAGUCGAACGAGACCUUCGGGUCUAGUGGCGCACGGGUGCGUAACGCGUGGGAACCUGCCCUUAGGUUCGGAAUAACUCCCCGAAAGGGGUGCUAAUACCGGAUAAUGUCUUCGGACCAAAGAUUUAUCGCCUUUGGAUGGGCCCGCGUUGGAUUUGCUAGUUGGUAGGGUAAAAGCCUACCAAGGCGACGAUCCAUAGCUGGUCUGAGAGGAUGAUCAGCCACACUGGGACUGAGACACGGCCCAGACUCCUACGGGAGGCAGCAGUGGGGAAUAUUGGACAAUGGGCGAAAGCCUGAUCCAGCAAUGCCGCGUGAGUGAUGAAGGCCUUAGGGUUGUAAAGCUCUUUUACCCGGGAUGAUAAUGACAGUACCGGGAGAAUAAGCUCCGGCUAACUCCGUG